CGCCACUGCCAGGCCUGGCCCUGUUGCUGGGGCACCCUGGCCCGUCUGCCCUGCGCAUACCACCAGGGGUGGGACCCAUGAGGGCAGGGCACAGCUGGGUGAAUGGGAUGGGGGCUCUGUCCUGGACCCCAGCCCCACACUGUCACUACCCUGCAUUCCCAGCCCUGGCCUGCCCACCUGUCUGACUCCCAGAUGCCACUCCCUGUCUGCCCACAGCCCUAUCGAAGCUGCCCGGCCACGUGCGACUUAGGGCUACUCAGGGAGUUUUGGGUGCUGACCCACCCUAUGACAGCUCACUAAAAUUCCCUAAUUGGCCCUGGUCAAAAUAAUUGCCUAUCCCCAAGCUAAGGGCUCUCUGAACAGCUUGGAGAGAAUCCUCUUCCAGUGACACUUAUCCCUCACUAGUUUUGGGCAGCUCGUGUUGCAAUCCAAUGUGACCAUUUUUCAGGCUGGAGACCAGUUGGGAGUGGUUCUCCGGCAUCUUAGGAGGCACUGCUCCCAGCCCUUCCCAAGUGGGUGCUCUGUCUUUCCCCAGAGUGACAGCAAGGAUAACUGGGAGAGCUGCAAAGGUAAGAAUCCUCAUUUUCCCUUCCUGUCCCAUCCCUGCGAACCCUCCCCUACCACCCCAUGCCAGGGCUCUCCCUCUGUCUCUCCUGCCAACCCUUAAUGGGCAGCUGCUCACAGCUCAUGCUAACCUGAACCCCAACAAUCAUUCCUUAAAGUUGGCAUGGGCUCAUUGGAAGGUCUAACUGCCCCCUUACAGCUACUGAUCUAAUUCAGAUCUCCUUCCAGCCUCUCUCUACAAAUAGUCCUGUCAACAUGUAGUCACUUAAAAUGCUUAGUCUGGGUUGUUUUAAUGCCAUGGGAUGGCAUCAUAGACUUUAAAAACCUAUAUCAGUAACCACAAACACCUGCUUUUAUUUUCUGUUAUUCAAUAACAGAAAGUUUUAUUGUACCAAAUCCAUUAGAAUUGUUUGCAUAACACCAAACCAGCCUUUGACCCUCCCAAGCUUGUUCAUUAUUGUUUUGAGCAGGCAUAGUCUCAAACCACGAGAACACAGGAAGGUGAUUCUUAGCUUGGGGUACUAAGAAGGAACUUAGGACCUCCUGCCAUCAUAAAAUGCUGCCUGUCCUCACUAUGUGCCUCCUGAUGUCACAAAAUGCUGUAUUCUUGGGCAGGGCUACAUACAACUGUCUAUGGGAAAACACUGGUUCUGGUAAGCAGAGGCCAACGGAGUCAAACGUUUGUCCUUGUGAUUUUAUUAAUUGUUAUUGCAAAGGCUGUUAUUAUGGGGAAAUUGUCUCCUUUUCAAAAUGAAAGGUAGCUGUGUCUCUGGAGCCAAAUCAGUCCUGGGAAUGAUGCUGUGUUCUCCUAUAUUAGUACCUGUAAUUAUUUCAGCAUCUAGGAAAUUUUGGUUUAAUCCUCCUUAUUACCAGUCAAGUUCCAUUGCAGAGUCCCAUUUUUGGAUUCAUAUUUCUGAGUAACAUAACAAUAGUAUCAAUUUUCAAUUGCAAUUCAUGCGGUGGCAGUCCUGAUGGUGUUUGAGCAUUUUCGGAAUUGUCUAUUAUCACUGAAUCUGUGCUGUAGUAUUUUUUUUCACUUCACCAGGCAGCAAAGUUUAUAAUUUUAGUAUUCAAUUUCAUGGCACAUUUAUUCUUAGGAGUUAGGAUAAUUUUCUUCACAAGGGAAUCCAAGUUUUCUACUUCAAUGUGCUUUCCCGUAAACUGCUUUGACAAUGGGACUCCAUUUCAAUAAAGGCUUCUGGUAUUUCAAUUGUAUCUGUGGCAACCUAUAACCAUUCAAUAUUCUUUCUUCACUAAUUCUGAGAGUACAUUCAUUGAAUCGAUGUUGUCCUUCAGUUUGCUUAUUUUGUGAUAAUUUGAUUUUGGUGAAAUGUGACCACAGAUGAUUAUUACUUACGCAUGCCUCAAUUGUCUCCAUUCUUGUACAUCUUAUUACCACUGGUAAUGUUUGUCUGAAGUCUCUGCCUAAUAAAAUCAGUUUUUCCUC
This is a long non-coding RNA of Alligator sinensis (Chinese alligator), 2011 nucleotides long. RefSeq lists it as uncharacterized. Lineage: Eukaryota; Metazoa; Chordata; Crocodylia; Alligatoridae. The transcript is spliced from 2 exons. The record is from RefSeq and is a predicted model, not a curated record.